This 460-nucleotide ribosomal RNA is filed under the name uncultured bacterium. RNAcentral's name for it is "partial 16S ribosomal RNA". It matches the Rfam family "Bacterial small subunit ribosomal RNA", at positions 338 to 795 of the family's 1533-position model. The record is from RNAcentral.
CCUACGGGUGGCAGCAGUGAGGAAUAUUGGUCAAUGGACGAGAGUCUGAACCAGCCAAGUAGCGUGAAGGAUGACUGCCCUAUGGGUUGUAAACUUCUUUUAUAAAGGAAUAAAACGAGGCACGUGUGCCUUUUUGCAUGUACUUUAUUAAUAAGGAUCGGCUAACUCCGUGCCAGCAGCCGCGGUAACACGGAGGAUCCGAGCGUUAUCCGGAUUUAUUGGGUUUAAAGGGAGCGUAGAUGGGUUGUUAAGUCAGUUGUGAAAGUUUGCGGCUCAACCGUAAAAUUGCAAUUGAUACUGGCAGUCGUGAGUACAGUUGAGGUAGGCGGAAUUCGUGGUGUAGCGGUGAAAUGCUUAGAUAUCACGAAGAACCCCGAUUGCGAAGGCAGCUUACUAAACUGUGACUGACAUUGAUGCUCGAAAGUGUGGGUAUCAAACAGGAUUAGAUACCCGAGUAGUC